CGCACAUUGCGCCCCUUGGUAUUCCGGGGGGCAUGCCUGUUCGAGCGUCAUUUCAACCCUCAAGCUGUGCUUGGUCUUGGGCGCUGCCGGCGACGGCUCGCCCUAAAAUCAGUGGCAGUGCCAGCGGGCUCUCUGCGUAGUAAUAAACCCCUCGCUAUUGAGACCUGCUGCGCGCGCGCCAGCAACCCCUAAUUUCUAUGGUUGACCUCGGAUCAGGUAGGGAUACCCGCUGAACUUAA
This 239-nucleotide unclassified non-coding RNA is filed under the name fungal sp. RNAcentral's name for it is "partial contains 5.8S ribosomal RNA, internal transcribed spacer 2, and large subunit ribosomal RNA". Lineage: Eukaryota; Fungi. The record is from RNAcentral.